This 862-nucleotide ribosomal RNA is filed under the name uncultured bacterium. RNAcentral's name for it is "bacterial SSU rRNA". It matches the Rfam family "Bacterial small subunit ribosomal RNA", at positions 9 to 873 of the family's 1533-position model. The record is from RNAcentral.
AGAGUUUGAUCAUGGCUCAGGAUGAACGCUAGCGGCAGGCUUAACACAUGCAAGUCGAGGGGUAUAGUUCUUCGGAAUUAGAGACCGGCGCACGGGUGCGUAACGCGUAUGCAAUCUACCUUUCACAGAGGGAUAGCCCAGAGAAAUUUGGAUUAAUACCUCAUAGUAUAGUUUUACCGCAUGGUAGAGUUAUUAAAGUCACAACGGUGAAAGAUGAGCAUGCGUCCCAUUAGCUAGUUGGUAAGGUAACGGCUUACCAAGGCAACGAUGGGUAGGGGUCCUGAGAGGGAGAUCCCCCACACUGGUACUGAGACACGGACCAGACUCCUACGGGAGGCAGCAGUGAGGAAUAUUGGACAAUGGAGGCAACUCUGAUCCAGCCAUGCCGCGUGCAGGAUGACGGUCCUAUGGAUUGUAAACUGCUUUUAUACGAGAAGAAACACUCCUUCGUGAAGGAGCUUGACGGUAUCGUAAGAAUAAGGAUCGGCUAACUCCGUGCCAGCAGCCGCGGUAAUACGGAGGAUCCAAGCGUUAUCCGGAAUCAUUGGGUUUAAAGGGUCCGUAGGCGGUUUAGUAAGUCAGUGGUGAAAGCCCAUCGCUCAACGGUGGAACGGCCAUUGAUACUGCUAAACUUGAAUUAUUAGGAAGUAACUAGAAUAUGUAGUGUAGCGGUGAAAUGCUUAGAGAUUACAUGGAAUACCAAUUGCGAAGGCAGGUUACUACUAAUGGAUUGACGCUGAUGGACGAAAGCGUGGGUAGCGAACAGGAUUAGAUACCCUGGUAGUCCACGCCGUAAACGAUGGAUACUAGCUGUUGGGAGCAAUCUCAGUGGCUAAGCGAAAGUGAUAAGUUCCCCCCUGGA